AAAAGAUUGCAGUCUUUUUCCAUUUUCUCAAAAUAGAAGUUCCUUCAAUACAAGACUCCCAGAAAGCAUGACUUACUGUUGGGGGCUGUACUAGUUUAUAAGCUUACUUCCUGCUUAUAACUUUCCCCAAACUGGCUUGUCCCAACAGGAAUCUAACAUCGUGUUAGAAAUUACUUCUGUGGUUUAGAUACAGAAUCCAUGAGAGGGUAGGGGGAGUGUCUUAUUCUAUCCUGAGAGUUCUGAGAUGUCCCUCACCCUACCAAGUAUUUGGCCAUUGAUGUUCCAUAGGUCGCUGACCAGGCCUUUUUAAAUGUUUCAGAGAGAAUUACUCAAGCCUUUCUAGUUAAUUUCCAUGUUUCUCCAUAAAGUAUUUGGUUCUAUCCUGGACC
This 389-nucleotide long non-coding RNA is filed under the name Bos taurus (domestic cattle). RNAcentral describes it as "long non-coding RNA NONBTAT013858". Lineage: Eukaryota; Metazoa; Chordata; Mammalia; Artiodactyla; Bovidae. The record is from RNAcentral.